UACGUAGGGUGCGAGCGUUAAUCGGAAUUACUGGGCGUAAAGCGCGCGUAGGUGGCUGUCUAAGUCGGAUGUGAAAUCCCCGGGCUUAACCUGGGAACUGCAUUCGAUACUGGACAGCUAGAGUAUGAGAGAGGGAGGUAGAAUUCCACGUGUAGCGGUGAAAUGCGUAGAUAUGUGGAGGAAUACCGGUGGCGAAGGCGGCCUCCUGGCUUAAUACUGACACUGAGGUGCGAAAGCGUGGGGAGCAAACAGG
This 253-nucleotide ribosomal RNA is filed under the name uncultured bacterium. Its description in RNAcentral is "partial 16S ribosomal RNA". It matches the Rfam family "Bacterial small subunit ribosomal RNA", at positions 524 to 776 of the family's 1533-position model. The record is from RNAcentral.